Long non-coding RNA from Dipodomys spectabilis (banner-tailed kangaroo rat), 661 nucleotides. RefSeq lists it as uncharacterized. The record is from RefSeq and is a predicted model, not a curated record. The transcript is spliced from 3 exons. Lineage: Eukaryota; Metazoa; Chordata; Mammalia; Rodentia; Heteromyidae.
GCCGGGCCGCGGCGUGCCGGGAGUCGACGCCGUGGACGUCAGAGCCGCAGCCACGUUCCGGCCUCACGAAAGUCCCUCCGGCCUCUCCCUGUCUGGGUGGAAAGGGCUUCCGGACGGGGAGAAUCGGCUUUUCUUGGUAAAUUCGGACACUGGUCAGUCAGUGGCGAAUCAGCCGGGGCCUUGCUCACAGGGAUUUCGGAGCAGCCGGUCUUAAGGAAGUCCUCAGCUCCUUGAGGAAGCAUGACUGACAUAUGUUACGGUCCACACCAUGAUGGUAGCGCUCGUGUGUACAUAGAGAAAGGUCGCUGGAUGGAGGACCUUUCCUUUCUGCCAGAAGCCAUUUGGAUUAUUGAAAGGCAUCCCUGGAAGGUCUGGGUGGAUUGGAUUUCCUCGUUUUUAAGUUUAAUUUUAUUGUGAAGAUGCUGAACAGAGGGGAUACAGUUACAUGAGUAAGGAUGAUCUCCUAUCCUGGCUCCUGUGGCUUCACUUCAGUGAACAUGGGAAUGCAUUUAUCUCUUUGACAUGCUAAUCUCAUUUUAUGUGCACGAGCAAACCAUUGUAAUCGCAUUUUUAAUUUUUUGAGGAUACUAUUUCCCAUUUGGGCUGUACUACAUUGACUCAAGGCUAGAACAGAAUAAAAGGUUUUCAACACUUCUUGAAA